This 275-nucleotide unclassified non-coding RNA is filed under the name Hevea brasiliensis (rubber tree). The record is from RNAcentral. Lineage: Eukaryota; Viridiplantae; Streptophyta; Magnoliopsida; Malpighiales; Euphorbiaceae.
CGGCCAUGUAAUUAAUGAUUUCCCCACUUGUAUGUCUCUGCUUUGACGAAUGCGAAAGGGUCAAACCCUUGUUGUAGAUGGUGGCCACAAGCGCUGCACGGAUCCUAAUCCCAAUUUGCUGCAACCUAAAGAACCAAUGCCUCUGCGAGAGGCACUCUACGAGUUUUGCAACAAAAAAUGAAGCUAGAAAAUAUCCCUGAUUUUUGAACUCUCCUUUCCCACUGAGGCACUGAACAAAAGUGGCUAUAAGGUAUGGACCAACAAAAGAAGCUGAU